Acyrthosiphon pisum (pea aphid) is the source of this 1095-nucleotide RNA transcript. It is a transcript of the gene named transcription initiation factor TFIID subunit 9-like, with no coding region annotated. The record is from RefSeq and is a predicted model, not a curated record. NCBI's taxonomy places the organism in Eukaryota, Metazoa, Arthropoda, Insecta, Hemiptera, Aphididae. The transcript has 5 exons.
CUUUGUUUACAAUUACUGUUUAGACCACUGUAAAGACGUAGUACCGAUACGAGAUAAGACGGAUAUUACAUUAAUUUCUGCAAGUAAAGAGUUUAAUAUUGUUUGUUAAUCUUUGAUACAACGUUUUGUUGUUAUAAUCUUAUUAUUAAUUCAAAUCAUUACAAUUCGAUUUGAUGGAGUCUACAGAAGGAAAAAAUAAUAUGCCCAAAGACAGUCAAAUCAUCGUGUCAAUGAUGGAGGAUCUAGGAAUUGUUGAAUAUGAUCAACAAGUCUUAAAUCAUUUUUUGGAGUUUAACUACAGAUACACUACUCAAUUAUUGGAAGACGCUAAGGCAUUGUCAAACUCGGCGGAAAAGAAGAAUGUUGAUGCUGACGAUGUGAAACUAGCAAUUCAAAUGGCGCAAGGCGGAGUGUUUCCUGGACCUCCUCCGCGCAAAGUAUUAACGACAGCAGCCAUCGAAGUAAAUAAAAUGCCAUUACCCCCACAAAGGCAUGCCAGUCAACUGCGAAUUUCACACGAUAGUCCAAAUUCCGUAAAGACAAAAUACAGGCUUAGAUAUGAAUCGCCUGUAUGUUCUGGAGAAAAUAUGCCCAAGGAUAAUAAAACAACAGCUGCAGAAAUGUUAGCGGAGUCUAGAAGAUUAUAAAACGAACAUAAACCCUUGCCGCAAUGUAAUUAAAUUUAUCUGAUUAAUUUUAGUGCUUAUGAAUUGCAUGCCAUAAUAUAUUAAAGUUAUACACCAUAUACUAUGCAAUUUAAAUGACCUAGCUUGUCAAAUGAAAAAUUCAUCCAGAUUUUCAAUGAUUUAAUCUUUAAAUAUCGUCGAAGCAGUCAUGGAUGCACUCGAAAAAAUGAUAAAGAUGAAAUUAUGGAUGCUCAGACUUAUAAAAAACCAUUCAUAUUCUGAUACUGCACUCAAUGAUACUGUCGAAAAAUUACUCAAUGAUAUGUAAUUUAUCAUGGAUAACAUAAUAAAAUUAAAAAUACUUUAAAUGGUAUAUUCAUUCUCUUUUAUUCAAUAUUAUAUUUUACGUUUUACAUUAGCUCAUAGUUAAAAGCUUAUCCAAAACUAAUAAUAAAUUAAUCAACUGUAA